UUGCCCAGACAACUAGGAUGUUGGCUUAGAAGCAGCCAUCAUUUAAAGAGUGCGUAAUAGCUCACUAGUCGAGUGACACUGCGCCGAAAAUGUACCGGGGCUAAACAUAUUACCGAAGCUGUGGAUUGUCCUUUGGACAAUGGUAGGAGAGCGUUCUAAGGGCGUUGAAGCAUGAUCGUAAGGACAUGUGGAGCGCUUAGAAGUGAGAAUGCCGGUGUGAGUAGCGAAAGACGGGUGAGAAUCCCGUCCACCGAUUGACUAAGGUUUCCAGAGGAAGGCUCGUCCGCUCUGGGUUAGUCGGGUCCUAAGCUGAGGCCGACAGGCGUAGGCGAUGGAUAACAGGUUGAUAUUCCUGUACCACCUAUAAUCGUUUUAAUCGAUGGGGGGACGCAGUAGGAUAGGCGAAGCGUGCGAUUGGAUUGCACGUCUAAGCAGUAAGGCUGAGUAUUAGGCAAAUCCGGUACUCGUUAAGGCUGAGCUGUGAUGGGGAGAAGACAUUGUGUCUUCGAGUCGUUGAUUUCACACUGCCGAGAAAAGCCUCUAGAUAGAAAAUAGGUGCCCGUACCGCAAACCGACACAGGUAGUCAAGAUGAGAAUUCUAAGGUGAGCGAGCGAACUCUCGUUAAGGAACUCGGCAAAAUGACCCCGUAACUUCGGGAGAAGGGGUGCUCUUUAGGGUUAACGCCCAGAAGAGCCGCAGUGAAUAGGCCCAAGCGACUGUUUAUCAAAAACACAGGUCUCUGCUAAACCGUAAGGUGAUGUAUAGGGGCUGACGCCUGCCCGGUGCUGGAAGGUUAAGAGGAGUGGUUAGCUUCUGCGAAGCUACGAAUCGAAGCCCCAGUAAACGGCGGCCGUAACUAUAACGGUCCUAAGGUAGCGAAAUUCCUUGUCGGGUAAGUUCCGACCCGCACGAAAGGCGUAACGAUUUGGGCACUGUCUCAACGAGAGACUCGGUGAAAUCAUAGUACCUGUGAAGAUGCAGGUUACCCGCGACAGGACGGAAAGACCCCGUGGAGCUUUACUGUAGCCUGAUAUUGAAAUUCGGCACAGCUUGUACAGGAUAGGUAGGAGCCUUUGAAACGUGAGCGCUAGCUUACGUGGAGGCGCUGGUGGGAUACUACCCUAGCUGUGUUGGCUUUCUAACCCGCACCACUUAUCGUGGUGGGAGACAGUGUCA
Molecule: ribosomal RNA, 1177 nt
Filed under: Staphylococcus aureus M1203
Lineage: Bacteria; Bacillati; Bacillota; Bacilli; Caryophanales; Staphylococcaceae
Description: bacterial LSU rRNA
Rfam family: Bacterial large subunit ribosomal RNA
Source: RNAcentral